UCCAGACUCCUACGGGGGGCAGCAGUGGGGGAUAUUGCACAAUGGGGGGAACCCUGAUGCAGCGACGCCGCGUGGGUGAAGAAGCGCCUCGGCGCGUAAAGCCCUGUCAGCAGGGAAGAAAAUGACGGUACCUGAAGAAGAAGCCCCGGCUAACUACGUGCCAGCAGCCGCGGUAAUACGUAGGGGGCAAGCGUUAUCCGGAAUUAUUGGGUGUAAAGGGUGCGUAGACGGAAGAACAAGUUGGUUGUGAAAUCCCUCGGCUCAACUGAGGAACUGCAACCAAAACUAUUCUCCUUGAGUGUCGGAGAGGAAAGUGGAAUUCCUAGUGUAGCGGUGAAAUGCGUAGAUAUUAGGAGGAACACCAGUGGCGAAGGCGACUUUCUGGACGAUAACUGACGUUGAGGCACGAAAGUGUGGGGAGCAAACAGGAUUAGAUACCCCAGUA
Molecule: ribosomal RNA, 445 nt
Filed under: uncultured bacterium
Lineage: Bacteria
Description: bacterial SSU rRNA
Rfam family: Bacterial small subunit ribosomal RNA
Source: RNAcentral